This 31-nucleotide non-coding RNA is filed under the name Prorocentrum micans. The record is from RNAcentral. RNAcentral also lists the same sequence under 1 other name. Lineage: Eukaryota; Dinophyceae; Prorocentrales; Prorocentraceae.
GAAAAAAAAAAAAAAAAAAAAAAAAAAAAAA